Molecule: transfer RNA, 9994 nt
Filed under: Homo sapiens (human)
Lineage: Eukaryota; Metazoa; Chordata; Mammalia; Primates; Hominidae
Description: HSALNT0333341
Rfam family: tRNA (bases 9410-9482)
Source: RNAcentral
AGAUACACGUGUAGAAACAUACACACACGUAAUGUACACAUAUGUAUAGUGCACAUAUGCACGCACUUGUACACACAUUUAGGCAUACACAUGCAUAUGUAGAUGCAUGUGUACAUGCAUGUAUACAUCUACACAUGCACAGACACACAUACAUGUACACAUGCAUACUGUGUACAUAAUACAUGUAUACAGAUACAUGUGCGCAUGCACGUGUACACACAUGCAUGCAUACACACAUGCAUUUGUAGAUAUAUGUGUAGGUGUGUACACACAACAUACACAUAUGCAUCCACACAUACACAUAUACAUAUGAGGUGGCACGUUCAGCUUUCAAGAGGACCAUCAGGGACUUUGUCACCUUGACAACUUUAGCCUUGCCUUCUAGUCACCUUGCCGGAACACUUGUGCCCGUGUUUUUCUAGCACUGUCAUAAGAAUACUUUUACCUAUCAAGGCAACUGGGGGUUAGGAGAGCUUUUUGCACAGGAGGCUACUUGGCUUUGUUUGAAAACUGAUGAUACAUGAGGAUUGGGGUGGUGAAUCACUCACAUGUUUCUUCAUAUGAAAAAUGAGGACUGUGGGAUUCUCUGGCUGGAUCUCAGCACCUAGAAAUGGAUCUGGGCAAUAGGAACUGCUCAGUAUUAGCUACCGCUUUGGUUGCCUUCUCCUUGCGGAAAGCUGGCCUCUCACACUGAAUUUGUAUCAUAGGCACUCAUGAGGGUCUUGACUGUAUCAAUAUCUGAUGAGAGAUUUUAGUGCAGUUCUGUUAUCGUGGCUGAUUUGCUCAUUUGGUAGCUAGCAUCCAGCUUCUUGUGAACAUUAAAAUAAAAUAAAAUAGAUUAUGGAGGAAUAGAAUACAGAUACGUAGUAAGGUAUUAUUUUCCAGACAAAAUGGAUUUGGAUAAAAGAAUCUAAUUAAGAACUUGUGCAUGAUUCUUUUAAAAUUCUUUUGAAUCCAUUUUUUUUUUUUUGGCCUGUUUUCAAGUCUCCGAUUUUUGUCACCCUUCUCACACCAGGUCAGAGAGAUAGCUAAUGGUCAGAAGGAAUCUUCCAGCAAUGACCAUAGCGCUUUCUCCUGCCUGCAGAUGCCUCUUUUUAUUCAGCCUUUAUGGGAAGUAGCAGCACCAUCCAGUUCUCAGAGAGCAAGCUCUGGAGUAACUGAGCUAACCCCAGUUACCCCAGUGGAUUUACAGAUUGAGGUUACAACCCAGCAGGGUUCUCUUCCUGGAAAGAAUAGCCUUCCCUCUAAGGUUUCAAAUAGACCCUGGGUGAGGAAGGAGCCCUAAACAGCUUGAAAAAUUGAAUGCUCUUUGGGCAAAGCAGGAAGCCGUCCUAUGGAAGAGCAUCAUUUGAGCAUAAAUCAGGUUAUCAGGACAAACAGAGUGUUCAGGAGGUCAAGAUGGUUAAGCAGAGACCCUGACCAGAAUGUCCGUGGCGGAGAGAAACAAUCUUGUUGGGAAAAGGAUGACAAUAAUUGGGGACUUAGAAUAAAGGCUAAAAAUGAUUCAAAGAGAAUGCAAAAAGAAUCAGGCACAAAUCGUUUACUAUACUCUGUUAUGCAAAUCUCACCUUACUAUGUGUUUGUAUUCUAUUCCUCCACAAUCUUUAUUUUAUUUUAAUGUUCAAAGAGACUUGUAGGUGCCAAUUAAAUGAACAAAACAGCCAGAGACAACAGAACUGCCCUAAAAAAAGUCCCGCAUCAGCUCUUGAGAGCAGGUUCCUUAAAGGUGAACAAUAUUCCACAUACAAGGACUUUUUCAGCACCAUGCAUUAGAAAUGGAAGUGAAUGUUUAUUAUUUUUUGUAUAAGUUGGUUGAUAUGGCUUUUCAGCUUCCCUCAGUAUCAUUAUCCAAAUUUUGUAGAUGACACUAAAGCUCAGAGGAGUUAAACCAUUUUCCUUAAAUCACAUAGCUUUAAAUAGGAAAACCAGAUAUGAAAAGCAGAUUUUUUUUCUAAAUUAAAAAACCAAAAACAAAAACACGUGAGCUCUUGCUUUACCCUAGCACAUAGUCUUGCCAUCUGUUUUCUCCACACCAGGUGAUUCCUGUAACAUUCAUUCACAUAACAAAUACAAAUAAAUGAGUGGAUUCAUUCAUCAGAUAUUAAUUCAGAAUCCCUUUUGUGCCUUCCAGAAAUCUGGACCAUCUCACAACCCCCAGAGAGUCUCAGCUACAAGGAACAAGUGAUAAUGCCAUCCCACUUUUAUAAACACACACACACACACAUGCAAUACACACACAAUCAUUUAAUCAUUUUUAAUUAUUUAAUUAUUUUUUAAAAAUCAGUGACACUUUAGCUGGGCAGGUCUAGAUAGGUCUUCUUUGCUGGGACGUGUCUUUUUCUGUCCUGGAAUACCCUAAACUUCACAUUUUGGCAGCGUGAGUUUUCCCUUUGUGACUUUCUCCUUCUUCCCUUUUUUCCUCCUUCUUUGCAGAGAAUGAGUAGCCACUGCACCUUGCCCUGCGCCAUCAAUGAGAAGAUCUGCUCUUAGUAGAGCCCUGCUUUCCCGCUGAAGGCCCUGAAAUCACCUGUGUUCCAGGCCACCCACUAAGGAUAAACAAAGCUUCCCUGAUAUGGGGAAUUAGCUCAAGUGGUAGAGCGCUUGCUUAGCAUGCAAGAGGUAGUGGGAUCAAUGCCCACAUUCUCCAAGCUUUAUUAUUUAGGUACCCAAACCCGAGUCAGUGUCUGAGAGCAAGACACUGCUCUCGGUGUCUUUGGUUCAAGACAUAGGAGCAGCAACAAUACAGGACUGGUGACAGCUUCCUGCUGGCAUUCAGUAUAGUGUAGAUCUACUGUGUAAUUAAUUUUCUGUUUCUUCGAGGAGCUGUGAAACCAAAGGACAUAUAAAACUGCUCUUUUCUCCCUGUUUCUGCCUGCAGCUUGGUCCUAAAUGUGAGACAAUUGUGAAAAGUGGAGGACAGAGCCACCUGGUUAAAUACAGCCCCAGCUUUCUGGUGAGAGGACUGAAACCAAGAUGUGUCAAGUAACUAGAAUGUGCCUGGACAGAUACUGUAGAAAGCAAAACCAUAAAGUUGUUCAUGAGCUUGUGGACGCACCUGCCAGCUGUGAAUAAGUGGCUCUAAUCCCGAACAACUUACCUAAAAAGAGCCUGAGAGCUGAACUGUGCAAUGGCCCACUUUCCAGUCCUCACUGACCACUGGGUUGCACACACUUUGGAGAUCUCUGAACAGCAGUGUCAAGGCUUUCAAAUAGAGUUAUCUUUGAAACGACAACACAUGAAAGUCUGGUUGGUACUUGGAGCUUAAAUACAAGGCAAUUGUGUGCCUGCAAAAACAAAAAUAGCAAUAUUAUCCUUAAGAUUUCAACAAGACACAGUGUCUCAUCACAUAAUCCAAAGAAGUCCAGGUUACAAGCCCCACAAUAUUCAGCAUUAUGAAAAAACAGGGAGAUCUUAAUUCACAUGGCAAAGAGAAUCCUCGAAUAACAAUAUUGAGAGGACACAGAUGUCAAAAUCAUCUGACACAUACAUUAAAGCAGAUAUUAUAACAAUGCUCCUAGAAUCGGGGAUAACAUUCGUGAAGUGAAUGGAAAGUUGGAAAGUCUCACCAAAUAUUUCGAAUACAUAAACACCAAUUUAAACUUAAGAAUUAAAAAAAUGUAUUAACCAAAACUCUUAGGGGAAAUAAAAAGCUUAAUUGGAGGAUCUCCAUAAUCGAAUGCAGAAGACUAAGGAAAAAGUCAAUGAACUUGAAAACAGAACACGAAUACCUACAUAAUCUGAACUAUAGAGAGAAAGGAGGAUUUUAUUGUCUCUGAACAGAGGCUCAGGCACAAAUAAAAAAUAACAAAUCCAACAUUCACAUUAUUGUAAUCUGGAAAGAAGAGGACAAAGUGGUCUUUGUGGGAUAAAACUUUGAACAAUUAAUAGCUGAAAAUGGUUCAAAUUUGUCAAAAGAUAUAAACCAGAUUUUUAAAGUUCAGUAAAUGUCAAUCAGGAUAAACCCAAAGAAACCCAUAGCAAGGCAUAUCAUAAUCAAACUGCUGAAAACUAAGAAAAUACAAAACAAUUUUGAAAGCAGCCAAAGGGAAAUGAAAGAGAAACUACCAAAUGAAUGAUUGUAGAUUUCGCAUCAGGAACCAUAGGGGCCAGAAAAAAUGUCAUAACAUUCGGUAAGUAACAAAAGAAAAAGACAUAUCGACCCAGAAUGCUAUGUGGAGCAAAAGUAUCUUCCAGACAUAAAGGCAAAUAAAUGCAUUCUCAGUGGAAGGUAAGUAAAUACAUUCUCAUUCUUAGGAAGACUGCUGGAAAAGAAUUAGCAAAGAUUUGAGAUAAGAAAAAUGAUACCAGAAGGAAACUUAGAACAUCAUCAGUGAAGGAACAAAAGCAGAAAUAGAACAUGUCUGGGUAGACAUAACAGACUAUUAUUCUUCCCUUGAGUUCCUUAAGGAGACUACGGAAAAGAAGAGUGACUAAGAUCUCUGAAGAAGGGAAAAGCUAGAUGACUGGGCCACAAGAGGAAAAAAAGCAGCAAGACAGAGAAUGAGUAGCCACUGCACCUUGCCCUGGGCCAUCAGUGAGAAGAUCUGCUCUUAGUAGAGCCCUGCUUUCCCGCUGAAGGCCCUGAAAUCCCCUGUGUUCCAGGCCACCCACUAAGGAUCAAUAAAGCUCCCCUGAUGUGGGGGAAUUAGCUCAAGUGGUAGAGCGCUUGCUUAGCAUGCAAGAGGUAGUGGGAUCGAUGCCCACAUUCUCCAAACUUUAUUAUUUAGACCCUGGGUCUCCAAACACUCAGGUCUCCAAACCCAAGUCAGAGAACAGGAUGCUGCUUUGGUUCAAGAUGUAGGAGCAGCAACAAUACAGGGCUGGUGACGGCUCCCUCCUGGCAUUCAGUAUAGUGUAGAUCUACCGUGUAAUUAAUUUUCUGCUUCUUUGAGGAGCUGUGAAACCAAGGGACAUAAACAAUUGCUCUUUUCUCCCUGUUUCUGCCUGUAGCUUGAAUGUGAGGCAACUGUGAAAAGUGCAGGGCAGAGCCACCUGGGUAAAUACAGCCCUGGCUUUCUGGUGAGAGGACUGAAACCAGGAUGUGUCAAGUAACUAGAAUGUGCCUGGACAGAUACUGUAGAAAGCAAACCCAUAAAGUUGUUCAUGAGCUUGUGGACGCACCUGCCAGCUGUGAAUAAGUGGGUCUAAUCCCAAACAACUUACCUAAAAAGAGCCUGAGGACUGAACUAAACAAUGGUCCACUUUCCAGUCCUCACUGACCACUGGUUGCACACACUCCAGAGAUCUCUCAUCCGCAGUGUCAAGGCUUUCAAAUAGAGUUAUCUGUGAAACAACAACACAUGGAAGUCUGGUUGGUACUUGGAGCUUAAAUACAAGGCAAUUGUGUGCCUGCAAAAACAAAAAGAGCAAUAUUAUCCUUAAGAUUUCAACAAGACACAGUGUCUCAUCACAUAAUCCAAAGAAGUCCAGGUUACAAGCCCCAAAAUAUUCAGCAUUAUGAAAAACCAGGGAGAUCUUAAUUCACAUGGCAAAGAGAAUCCUUGCAUAACAAUAUUGAGAGGACACAUAUGUCAAAAUCAUCUGACACAUACAUUAAAGCAGUUAUUAUAACAAUGCUCCUAGAAUUACGGGAUAGCAUUCAUGAAGUGAAUGGAAAGUUGGAAAGUCUCACCAAAUAUUUGGAAUAUGUAAACACCAAUUUAAACUUAAGAAUUAAAAAAAGUAUUAACCAAAACUAUUAGGGGAAAUAAAAAGCUUAAUUGGAUGAUCUCAAUAGCAGUAUGCAGAAGACUAAGGAAAAAGUCAAUGAACUUGAAAACGGAACAAGAAUACCUACAGAAUCUGACCUAUAGAAAGAAAGGAGGAUUUUAUUGUCCCUGAACAGAGGCUCAGGGACAAAUAAAAAAUAACAAAUCUAACAUUCACAUUAUUGUAAUCUGGAAACAUUCACAUUAUUGUAAGAGGACAAAGAGGUCUUUGUGGGAUAAAACUGUGAAGAAUUAAUGGCUGAAAAUGUAUCAAAUUUCUCAAAAGAUAUAAACCAGAUUUUUAAAGUUCAGUAAAUGUCAAGCAGGAUAAACCAAAAGAAACCCAUUGCAAGACAUAUCAUAAUCAAACUGCGGAAAAUUAAGAAAACACAAAACAAUUUUGAAAGCAGCCAAAGGGAAAUGAAAGAUAAAAUACCAAAUGAAUGAUUGUAGAUUUCUCAUCGGGAACCCAGGAGCCAGAAAAAAAUGUCAUAACAUUCAGUAAAUACCAAAGGAAAAAUACAUUAUCAACCCAGAAUGGUAUGUGGAGCAAAAGUAUCUUCCAGACAUAAAGGCAAAUAAAUGCAUUCUCAUUGGAAGGUAAAUAAAUACAUUCUCAGUCCUAGCAAAACUGCUGGAAAAGAAUUAGCAAAGGUUUGAGAUAAGAAAAGUGAUACCAGAAGGAAACUUAGAACAUCAUCAAUGAAGGAACAAAAGCAGAAAUAGAAAAUGUCUGGGUAGACAUAACAGACUAUUAUUCUUCUCUUGAGUUCCUUAAGGUAUGUUUGAUGGUUGAAAGCAAAAAUUGUAACUUUAUCUGAUGCAGUUGUCAUUGUAUCUAGAUGUACUACAUACAUAAGAUAAAAGGGUAAAUGUAAUGGGACUAACUCUUGAUGAAGUUUCUAUAUUCAACUUGAAUGGUAAAAUAUUGAUUCUUAGUAUACUGUGAAAAGUUAUAUAUGUAUAUGGUAAUCCCUAGACCACUUAACAACCAGAUUGAAAUAAACCAAAACAAGAUAGACAGAGGAACAUAGAAGAAUUAAAACAAAGGGAAAAAAGGUUAAUAAAUUAUUAAAUAGUAGAUCUAUCUAAAAACUUAUCUAUAAUAACAUUAUAUGUAAAUUAUCUAAAUGCAUUAAGUAAAAACUAGAGAUCAUCAGAAUGUGUUAAAAAUAAAUAUGCUGACUAAAGAAAGCCACCUGCAAUACACUUAUAAAUAAGAAUAAAAGUUAUAGAGCAGAUUGAAAGAAAAGAGUGGGAAAAGAUACCUCAUGCAAGCAUUAAUCAAAGACAGCUGUGGUGUAUAUAUAUAAAAUCAGACAAAGUAGAUUUGAAAGCAGAGAAACUUUUCAGGAAUAAUGAGGCCUCCUAAAUAAUUAUGAUUGUCAAUUUUUCAGGAGAAUAUUGUCCCAAAUGUAUAUGAGGACACAGAGCUUCAAAACUCAUAAACAAAAUUGGAUACGCCAAGUAAAAAUAGAAAAAUCCAGUUAUAGUUGCAGUCAUUAACACUCCUCUCUGAGUAAUUGGAAGAUUUAGUGGAACACAAAUCAACAGACAUACUGGAGAAUUGAACCAUGCCAUCCAGUAAUGGACCUAUCAAUUUCAUAAUGCAAAAUAAAAAUUCAGGUAGAAAGCAAAGACAAAAAUUAAAAGAAAAGCAAGAUCAUGUUAUAAUGAGAAAAUUAAGAGUAGUCCAGUGUAUAGAAGGGUGCUAUUAUUGAAAGAGUUUGAAAUAGUGACUUAGUUAUUUUGAAACAUUUUUGAAGACGUUAUUUAGCUGGAAAUGACAGAAAGACUGAAAAUGGUGAAUGUGGAGGUGGAUCUUCCCUUGUCCAUAUUUAUCUUGUCUUCGUUUGAGGUCUGGGGUGUCUAUACUUCCUCUGAAUUACCUGAUCUUACUACAGUGUCUGGCACAGAGCAUCUCCCCAGUGAAUAUGUACUAAAUGAGUAGAAAGUAAUUGAUAGAUUCAAAAGAGUUGUGCAAGAAUAAUGUUCAUUAUUUGACUAAUCACUGAAUGUGGUGUUUCAAGGAAGACAAUGAAUCAAAGUUGACUUGAAAGGUAAGCCCAGGGCCAGACGUGGUGGCUCAUUUCUGUAAUCCCAGCACUUUGGGAGGCCGAGAUCAGUGGAUCCCUUGACACCAGGAGUUUGAGACCAGCCUAGGCAACACAGUGAAAACCUGUCUCUACAACAAAUACAAAAAUUAGCCGGGUGUGGUGGUAUGCAUCUGUAGUUCCAGCUACUCAGGAGGCUGAGGUGGGAGGAUCGCUUGAACUCAGGAGGUGGAGGUUGCAGUGAACAGAGAACGCACCGGUACCUGGACAACAAAGUGAGACCCUGUCAUAAAAUAAAAUAGUUAAACCCAGGCCAGGAGGGGUGGCUCAUGCCUGUAAUCCCAGCACUUUGGAAGGCCAAGGUAGGCUGAUCACGUGACGUCAGGAGGUUGAGACCAGCCUGGCCAACAUGGUGAAACCCCGUCUCUACUAAAAAUACAAAAAUUAACCAAGCGUGGUGGCAGGCACCUGUAGUCCCAGCUACUCUGGAGGCUGAGACAGGAGAAUUACUAGAACCCGGGAGGCAGAGGUUGCAGUGAGCCAAGAUCUUACCAUUGCACUGCAGCCUGGGCGACAGAGUGACACUCUGUCGAAAAAAAAAAAAAAAAAAAAGUUAAGCCCAAAAAGUAAGUAAGGAAGAGGUUUGGAAUUAGAUAUUUGUUGUAUGAAUGAGUGAGCUAAAGUGCAAAAGAACGGGCAGAAUAACUGAGCUGGUACAGAGGGAAAAAAUCACAUUUAAAAUCUAAAAAUAUCUGCUUCUUAGUUCAGGCUUUCCCACUUAGCAGCUUUGGCACCUUAGGAACACUUAACUUAUCUGAGCCUCUAUUACUUCUAAAAAGUGCAUAAAGUGCAGACUAAGACAGUUUUUUUGGCAAAAUUCAGUCAGACUACAUCAAGUAAACUCCCUAAGUCUCCUAGUAUAAUUCAUGGCACAAAAAAUUGGGGAAAAAACAGGGAGGAUAUGAUUAUAAGUUCAGUUUAUGUUUUUUGUUGAGUGAAUGUCUCCAGUCAUAGAGAUGCAAGUGUAGAUACACAGUAAGAGUAGUAUGAAUGGGAGACACCUUGGAAGGCUAUUUCUUCCUUCCUUCAUUCAGUUGGUCACUCAGUGAACUAUCAUGAAUUGAGCACCGCCUCUGUUUCUUAUCAACAAAGGAGACUGCGGAAAAGAAGAGUGACUAAGAUCUCUGAAGAAGGGAAAAGCUAGAUGACUGGGCCACAAGAGGAAAAAAAGCAGCAAGACAGUUACAAUUGUUUCUGGUCCCACUUUUAUAAACACACACACACACACACACACACACACACACACACACAAAAUCAUUUAAUCAUUUUUAAGUAUUUAAUCAUUUUUUAAAAAUCUGUGAUGCUUUACCUGGGCAUGUCUAGGCAGGUCCUCCUUUGCUAGGACGUGCCCUUUUCUGUCCCGGAAUACUCUAAACUUGGCAUUUUGGCAGCGUGAAGUUUUCCCGUUGUGACUUUCUCCUUGUUCCCUUUUCUCCUCCUUCUUUGCAGACAAUGAGUAGCCACUGCUGUUUGCCCUGGCCCAUCAAUGAGAAGAUCUGCUCUUAGAGCCCUGCUUUCCUGCUGAAGGCCCUGAAAUCACCUGUGUUCCAGGCCACCUGCUAACAAUAAAUAAUGCUGCCCUGAUGUGGGGAAUUAGCUCAAGUGGUAGAGCGCUUGCUUAGCACGCAAGAGGUAGUGGGAUCGAUGCCCACAUUCUCCAAGCUUUAUUAUUUAGACAUCGUGUCUCCAAACACUCAGGUCUCCAAACCCAAGUUAGUGUCUGAGAACAGGAUGCUGCUUUGGUUCAAGACGUAGGAGCAGCAAUAAUAGAGGGCUGGUGAUGGCUCCCUCUUGGCAUUCAGUAUAGUGUAGAUCUACCAUGUAAUUAAUUCUCUGUUUCUUUGAGGAGCUGUGAAACCAAGGGACAUAUACAACUGCUCUUUUCUCCCUGUUUCUACCUGCAGCUUUGUCCUAAAUGUGAGACAAUUAUGAAAAGUGCAGCGCAGAGCCACUUGGGUAAAUACAGCCCCGGCUUUCUGCUCAGGGGACAGAGUUUGAGGCACUGCAGAGGAACCGGCCAAAGUAUGAGACCCAUAUAUUGAGAGUAACAGAGUGUAAAGUUCAAAAAAAUCAAAAUAUUUAAAGAUUUAUCAUGGGUCUUGAUGACAUGAUGGAAUCUCUCUACUCUCUGGACUUAUUAUGUGUGGUAAUAAAUUUACUUUUUAAAAGCCA